UGGGGAAUAUUGGACAAUGGACCAAAAGUCUGAUCCAGCAAUUCUGUGUGCACGAUGACGUUUUUCGGAAUGUAAAGUGCUUUCAGUUGGGAAGAAAAAAAUGACGGUACCAACAGAAGAAGUGACGGCUAAAUACGUGCCAGCAGCCGCGGUAAUACGUAUGUCACAAGCGUUAUCCGGAUUUAUUGGGCGUAAAGCGCGUCUAGGUGGUUAUGUGAGUCUGAUGUGAAAAUGCAGGGCUCAACUCUGUAUUGCGUUGGAAACUGCAUGACUAGAGUACUGGAGAGGUAAGCGGAACUACAAGUGUAGAGGUGAAAUUCGUAGAUAUUUGUAGGAAUGCCGAUGGGGAAGCCAGCUUACUGGACAGAUACUGACGCUAAAGCGCGAAAGCGUGGGUAGCAAACAGGAUUAGAUACCCUGGUAGUCCACGCCGUAAACGAUGAUUACUAGGUGUUGGGGGUCGAACCUCAGCGCCCAAGCUAACGCGAUAAGUAAUCCGCCUGGGGAGUACGUACGCAAGUAUG
Molecule: ribosomal RNA, 524 nt
Filed under: uncultured bacterium
Lineage: Bacteria
Description: bacterial SSU rRNA
Rfam family: Bacterial small subunit ribosomal RNA
Source: RNAcentral